This 397-nucleotide ribosomal RNA is filed under the name uncultured bacterium. Its description in RNAcentral is "bacterial SSU rRNA". It matches the Rfam family "Bacterial small subunit ribosomal RNA", at positions 362 to 776 of the family's 1533-position model. The record is from RNAcentral.
UAUUGCACAAUGGGGGAAACCCUGAUGCAGCGACGCCGCGUGAGUGAAGAAGUAUUUCGGUAUGUAAAGCUCUAUCAGCAGGGAAGAUANUGACGGUACCUGACUAAGAAGCCCCGGCUAACUACGUGCCAGCAGCCGCGGUAAUACGUAGGGGGCAAGCGUUAUCCGGAUUUACUGGGUGUAAAGGGAGCGUAGGUGGCAGGGCAAGUCAGAUGUGAAAACCCGGGGCUCAACCCCGGGAGUGCAUUUGAAACUGCCUGGCUGGAGUACAGGAGAGGUAAGUGGAAUUCCUAGUGUAGCGGUGAAAUGCGUAGAUAUUAGGAGGAACACCAGUGGCGAAGGCGGCUUACUGGACUGUAACUGACGUUGAGGCUCGAAAGCGUGGGGAGCAAACAGG